UGGUAUGGCACGGCCACCAAGUUCGUGCAUUCUGCAUACCAGGAAACCUGACACGAAGCAACGUAUUGCUGUGAUGGCAGCUAAGUGAGAACGAAUGAGUUUGUCUUCUCUGUACAUUUGUCAAUAUCAUUACACAGGCUUGUUAAGUGCAUUCAAGCGGCUUUAGCAAUGCACUUGCAGCUACAGAGCCAGUAAAGGCAGCCAAUUUCAUCAUCAGAGUUCACUCUGCAAAUCCCACUUUCCAUAAAGGGCAUUGUUUUGUGAUAGCUUAAGGUCAAAACUUGCUCAAUUAAACACUUCUUGGUGUCUGACAUUACAUGAAUUAUGAUAAUUGUUAUAUCUCAUGUGAAAUUAUGCCAUUGUUUUUUUUUCAUAUUCUUACUUUGCAUACACACUUUACGACUGCACCCUCCCCAACCGAAUCUUUACUAGUGCUACAUUCUGUUAUGGGUGAAAACAAUUAUUGACUAAAAACCAGGCCAAGGAAAGCAGUAUGAUGCCCUGUAAUGUAGGAGGAUGCCGCUAUUGCAGUGUUUAGUCUAGAGCUGAAUUUAAUGAGAAAGGGCAGCAAUGUAGGUCAUCUGUGGAUAUUUGCAGACCAUAAUUGUGUUGUGGUCAUUUUGUUAUCGCAGGAAGCAUCUUCAAAAAGCAGUGCUACAAGGAUGUGAGCAGCAGUUUCCCUUCAACGAACAGGUCAAAUUCAUGGAAGCCACGUGCCUGCUGCUUCUGGCCUACACAAUCAUGCAGCCAACAUAGUAAAGUUCUUGCAAAGACAUUCUACACAAACUUGCCCAAAGGCGGAAGGAAGGCACGCACAGAUGGACGCACAGAAAUCAUGGGGCUGCCGUAGAAGCUGUGAAUGAGCAUUAACCUACGUACAGAAAGGAGCGAAGUGGAGCUGUCCAUGGGCCGUGCACACAGUUUCAUAAGCAGGCUUGCAACACUUUUGACAAAUAUGUUCCUGAAUACAUCUGCCAA
Molecule: long non-coding RNA, 978 nt
Organism: Rhipicephalus sanguineus (brown dog tick)
Lineage: Eukaryota; Metazoa; Arthropoda; Arachnida; Ixodida; Ixodidae
Exons: 3
Source: RefSeq, a predicted model, not a curated record